RNAcentral lists this ribosomal RNA (741 nucleotides) under uncultured bacterium. RNAcentral's name for it is "bacterial SSU rRNA". It matches the Rfam family "Bacterial small subunit ribosomal RNA", at positions 35 to 802 of the family's 1533-position model. The record is from RNAcentral.
GCUUGUGCGGUGCUUACCAUGCAGUCGGACGGUGAGAGCAAUCUCACAGUGGCAGACGGCUGAGUAACACGUGAGGACCUAUCCAGUUGAGGGGGAUAGCCGCUCGAAAGAGCGGGUAAUACCGCGUAAGCCGAACGGGCGUAGGGCCUGCUCGGGAAAGCAGGGUAACUUGCGCGACUGGAGGGACUCGCGGCCCAUCAGGUAGUAGGUGAGGUUAAGGCCCACCUAGCCGAUGACGGGUAGCUGGUCUGAGAGGAUGGCCAGCCAGACUGGGACUGAGAGACGGCCCAGACUCCUACGGGGGGCAGCAGGGGGGGAUCUUGGUCAAUGGGGGAAACCCUGAACCAGCGACGCCGCGUGAGGGAAGAAGGUCUUUGGAUCGUAAACCUCUUUUGCCAGGGAAGAUGAUGACGGUACCUGGCGAAUAAGCCCCGGCUAACUACGUGCCAGCAGCCGCGGUAAUACGUAGGGGGCGAGCGUUGUCCGGAUUUACUGGGCGUAAAGAGCGCGUAGGCGGUCUGAAGAGUCGGCUGUGAAAUCUCUGGGCUCAACCCAGAGGGGUCGGCCGAGACCUUUGGACUUGAGGGUGGUAGAGGAAGGUGGAAUUCCGGGUGUAGUGGUGAAAUGCGUAGAGAUCCGGAGGAACACCAGUGGCGAAGGCGGCCUUCUGGGCCAUACCUGACGCUGAGGCGCGAAAGCGUGGGGAGCGAACCGAAUUAGAUACUCGGGUAGUCCACGCCC